UGGGGAAUAUUGCACAAUGGGGGAAACCCUGAUGCAGCGACGCCGCGUGGAGGAAGAAGGCCUUCGGGUUGUAAACUCCUGUCUUCGGGGACGAUAAUGACGGUACCCGAGGAGGAAGCCACGGCUAACUACGUGCCAGCAGCCGCGGUAAAACGUAGGUGGCAAGCGUUGUCCGGAAUUACUGGGUGUAAAGGGAGCGCAGGCGGAUUGGCAAGUUGGAAGUGAAAACUAUGGGCUCAACCCAUAACGUGCUUUCAAAACUGCCAGUCUUGAGUGGUGUAGAGGUAGGCGGAAUUCCCGGUGUAGCGGUGGAAUGCGUAGAUAUCGGGAGGAACACCAGUGGCGAAGGCGGCCUACUGGGCACUAACUGACGCUGAGGCUCGAAAGCAUGGGUAGCAAACAGG
This 404-nucleotide ribosomal RNA is filed under the name uncultured Oscillospiraceae bacterium. Its description in RNAcentral is "bacterial SSU rRNA". It matches the Rfam family "Bacterial small subunit ribosomal RNA", at positions 355 to 776 of the family's 1533-position model. The record is from RNAcentral. Lineage: Bacteria; Bacillati; Bacillota; Clostridia; Eubacteriales; Oscillospiraceae.